This 230-nucleotide ribosomal RNA is filed under the name uncultured microorganism. RNAcentral's name for it is "partial 16S ribosomal RNA". It matches the Rfam family "Bacterial small subunit ribosomal RNA", at positions 524 to 754 of the family's 1533-position model. The record is from RNAcentral.
UACGUAGGUCCCAAGCGUUGUCCGGAUUUAUUGGGCGUAAAGCGAGCGCAGGUGGUUUCUUAAGUCUGAUGUAAAAGGCAGUGGCUCAACCAUUGUGUGCAUUGGAAACUGGGAGACUUGAGUGCAGGAGAGGAGAGUGGAAUUCCAUGUGUAGCGGUGAAAUGCGUAGAUAUAUGGAGGAACACCGGAGGCGAAAGCGGCUCUCUGGCCUGUAACUGACACUGAGGCUC